UAAUUUCUGAAUCAGUCACCUCUUAAAAUUCAUAACAAAUCAUACGUUCAUUUUUAACGGUUCAAAAUUUGUGGACAUAUACUCAACUUAUAUAUGUAUAACAUAUCCAAAAAUUACAACGAUCCAACGGUUGGAUUAAAAAUUAUAACUCACACAAUAUAUCUCAAAAACACUGGUUUAAUUUUUAAUACCUUCAUUCCGACAAAAAUACUGAUAAAACACUUCAACAUUAACUCCUUCAUUUUUAACCACAAUAAAUAUAUCUAACAUUUAUAUCCACAUAAAAUAAAUAUUUCCUUAUCAUAUGAAUCAAUAAUUAAUUAUUCACAAAUAAUAUUACAGAAUCACAUUUAUGACAACCAGACCGUUCCCAGGAAAGAGGGG
RNAcentral lists this long non-coding RNA (384 nucleotides) under Panax ginseng (ginseng). RNAcentral's name for it is "long non-coding RNA (PGIN_LNC018937)". Lineage: Eukaryota; Viridiplantae; Streptophyta; Magnoliopsida; Apiales; Araliaceae. The record is from RNAcentral.